GACGAACGCUGGCGGCGUGCUUAACACAUGCAAGUCGAGCGGUAAGGCCCUUUCGGGGGUACACGAGCGGCGAACGGGUGAGUAACACGUGGGUGACCUGCCCUCAGCUCUGGGAUAAGCCUGGGAAACUGGGUCUAAUACUGGAUAUGACUCCAUGACGCAUGUUGUGGGGUGGAAAGCCUUGUGCGGCUGAGGAUGGGCCCGCGGCCUAUCAGCUUGUUGGUGGGGUGACGGCCUACCAAGGCGACGACGGGUAGCCGGCCUGAGAGGGCGACCGGCCACACUGGGACUGAGACACGGCCCAGACUCCUACGGGAGGCAGCAGUGGGGAAUCUUGCGCAAUGGGCGAAAGCCUGACGCAGCGACGCCGCGUGAGGGAUGACGGCCU
This 388-nucleotide ribosomal RNA is filed under the name uncultured bacterium. Its description in RNAcentral is "bacterial SSU rRNA". It matches the Rfam family "Bacterial small subunit ribosomal RNA", at positions 28 to 417 of the family's 1533-position model. The record is from RNAcentral.